This 546-nucleotide non-coding RNA is filed under the name Pan troglodytes (chimpanzee). RNAcentral also lists the same sequence under 1 other name. Lineage: Eukaryota; Metazoa; Chordata; Mammalia; Primates; Hominidae. The record is from RNAcentral.
UAUGUAGGUUAGCAAUCAAUGUUAUUUUCUGCCUGUAGGCUUUUCUUAAUAAUUAAGAAUAUUAUAUUCUUUGUUCCUAACUUUACAGAUUAUAAGCACACCACAGAGACUAACCAGUUCAGGAAGUGUUCUGAUUGGGAGUCCAUAUACCCCUGCACCAGCAAUGGUUACUCAGACACACAUAGCAGAAGCUACUGGCUGGGUCCCUGGUGAUAGAAAACGGGCUAGAAAAUUUAUAGACUCUGAUUUUUCAGAAAGUAAACGAAGCAAAAAAGGAGAUAAAAAUGGGAAAGGCUUGAGACACUUUUCAAUGAAAGUGUGUGAGAAAGUUCAACGAAAAGGUACAACAUCGUACAAUGAAGUCGCUGAUGAGCUGGUGUCAGAGUUCACCAAUUCAAAUAACCAUUUGGCUGCUGAUUCGGCUUAUGAUCAGAAGAACAUUAGGCGAAGAGUUUAUGAUGCUUUAAAUGUGCUAAUGGCAAUGAACAUAAUUUCAAAGGAAAAAAAAGAAAUCAAGUGGAUUGGCCUGCCUACCAAUUCUGCUCA